AGUUAAUGUAGCAUAGUCAGGCUUUGCCAAAGAUCUAAGCCCUUUUCACAGAGGUUCAAAUCCUCUCAUUAACU
RNAcentral lists this transfer RNA (74 nucleotides) under Scinax hayii (Hay's snouted treefrog). Its description in RNAcentral is "tRNA-Leu". It matches the Rfam family "tRNA". Rfam says of the family: Transfer RNA (tRNA) molecules are approximately 80 nucleotides in length. The record is from RNAcentral. Lineage: Eukaryota; Metazoa; Chordata; Amphibia; Anura; Hylidae.